Molecule: transfer RNA, 73 nt
Filed under: Diaphorina citri (Asian citrus psyllid)
Lineage: Eukaryota; Metazoa; Arthropoda; Insecta; Hemiptera; Psyllidae
Rfam family: tRNA
About the family: Transfer RNA (tRNA) molecules are approximately 80 nucleotides in length. Their secondary structure includes four short double-helical elements and three loops (D, anti-codon, and T loops). Further hydrogen bonds mediate the characteristic L-shaped molecular structure. tRNAs have two regions of fundamental functional importance: the anti-codon, which is responsible for specific mRNA codon recognition, and the 3' end, to which the tRNAs corresponding amino acid is attached (by aminoacyl-tRNA synthetases). tRNAs cope with the degeneracy of the genetic code in two manners: having more than one tRNA (with a specific anti-codon) for a particular amino acid; and 'wobble' base-pairing, i.e. permitting non-standard base-pairing at the 3rd anti-codon position.
Source: Rfam by way of RNAcentral
ACCUCGGUGGCUGAGUGAUCAAGAGCACUGACUCCCAAUCCGGAGGUGCUGGGUUCGAAUCCCGGCCGGGACA